UGCCUUCCUAACGCAUCAACUGUGUUGGAAGAGUCCAGGCUACAGAGGGUGGUGUCCCACGGUUUAGGAAGGGGACUUGAAGGGUACAGGCACAUUUCCUGCACAUCCCAGAUGUUGGGAUGCUGUGAGCAUGGUGUGGUCCUGCUCUGUGAAUCCUCCUUGAGGUGGGCACACGCUGACAUCAGGGAAGAAAGCCCAGGCAAAGGUGGGCUCAAGACCGAGUAGGUCCAUGGCUCCAGUAACAGUCCACACCACCUAACCUUGUGUCAGCUGUAUCCUUCGGAGGGAACUUUGGAGUUACUGCCAUUUUUGAAAAUACCAUCUCUUUGGUGGGGUGAAUGUAAACACCUCCUAUGUCACAACUCUCCCUCAAGGACAUUCAUUCACCAGCUACCGAGUUUUCUAAAACUCAGACUCGAUUUUUUUAUUCUAUAUCAGAACAAGUACGUUGGAGAGAAGGAACAUCAGGGGAAGAAUGUCACUCCUCUAACAUCAAGCCAUGGAGCACACUGCUGCCAUGACUUCAGCUGUGGACAAUAACCUGGGUCAUCGCGUUGAGCUUGUAGAUGGUUCAUUUUAGAGCUGGAGCAGGAAGUAAACAGAGUAAGAUUUGGGCCUCUUGCACUGUAAGCAAGUACAUAAAAACAAAAUAAAGCAAAAUCCCACAAUGACAGGCAUGUCAGGGGC
Molecule: long non-coding RNA, 687 nt
Organism: Fukomys damarensis (Damara mole-rat)
Lineage: Eukaryota; Metazoa; Chordata; Mammalia; Rodentia; Bathyergidae
Exons: 3
Source: RefSeq, a predicted model, not a curated record